Long non-coding RNA from Dama dama (fallow deer), 2110 nucleotides. RefSeq lists it as uncharacterized. The transcript is spliced from 3 exons. The record is from RefSeq and is a predicted model, not a curated record. NCBI's taxonomy places the organism in Eukaryota, Metazoa, Chordata, Mammalia, Artiodactyla, Cervidae.
UGGGUUCGCGGGGUUUGAACCGGAAGUGUGGCGGCUUUCAGGGCGCAUUGUUCAACCUCCCCGCUGGCUCUUCCUGGCUCCGCAGCACCUGUCCUCGUAAUGGUCACAUCUCUUUCGGGCGCUGGGGGGCCAGGUCAGGUGCGUCCCAAAGGCCCAAGAGGGGACUUGUCCGCCCGGUGGGUCUGGGGCUGCUGGCUCCAGCUCCUGGAGUGACGUCGCUGCAGCCUUCCGGGCCCUCUGUACCCCGGCUUUGGGAGGGGAGGGUGCGAAGUCCAAGCAGGCCUGCUCUCUGCUGCCCAGUCACUUUCUGUACUGGAUCGCACCUGAUCACAGGGCUGCCCAGAGACAGAGACGAACCCCGGGGUGCAGAGCCACCUGGAGGAGCAGAGGGGUCCUCUCGGGCUGGAGCUGCCCCCCAGCUCUUCCUUCUCCAGGCGAGCCCGGCGAAGCUUACACAGUUUCCUGGAGAAGCGCUGGGCGUCCUGUGUCCGCUCCUGAUCAGGCCUUCUGAAAUUAACCCCAAGUCAUUCUGUGCGCCACCGGUGUUGGAGCCAGAGAGAGGUCGUUGUGUGACUCAGAAAUCAACUUGCUGUACAGAAUUGUUUUUGCGUGUUCAGUGAUCUCAUUCAGUGCCCAACACGGGCUGGGAUUUCUUUCUUUUUUUUACCCUUAAGUGACUGCAUUCGACUCUGCUCUGCUAUAUUUAGAUUCUGAAAUCUCUCCUAAAACGAUUAUACUAUUUCUUUUACUUCCAUUGUUGCUCUCCCAACUGUGUUCCAAGCCUUGACGUAUUCGAAUCGUUAUAAAUUUAAAAUCUCCCCCACAAACUGGGAAAGGGAACCCAAGUGAUGAUGUAAUCUCACUUUACAGAACAGCACUGUCCAAUACAAGCUCCUGUGAUGGAGGAAAAAUGUCUUUUGCCGGCACUGUUCAGUGUGGUGGCUACAUGUGGCUAUGAGCACUUGAAAUGCGACAGUCAACUUAAGGAACUGAAGUUUUCGUUUUAAUUCAUUCAAUUUACAUAGCCAGAAGUGAAACCACAGGUUGGUCAGAGCCGUGUGAAAGGCUGUAUGCUGCAUGCAGAUCUUAAAUUGAAGGCAACUAAUGUUUCUUUACUCCACUCAUUCUCCAAGUAUUUACCAGCCUUAAUACAACUGAAAGAUGCAACUCAGUUCUAUGAGAGUGAUUUUAAAAACGUUUUAUUUUAUAUUGGAGUCUUUGGAUUAACAAUUUUGAUAGUCUCAGAUAGACCAGCAGAGGGACUCAGCAAUACAUAUACAUGUAUCCAUUCUCCCCCAAACUCCCUCCCAUCAGGCUGCCACAUAACAUUGAAUAGAGUUCCCUGUGCUAUACAGUAGGACUUUGUUGGUUAUCCAUUUUAAAUAUAGCAGUAUGAAUGUGUCAAUCCAAAGCCAGAGUGAUUUUUUAACUGAGGGCAGCAUCUUGUAGCUUGAACUCUAGUAGGGGUUUGAAAAAGUUCUCUGGGUGAAUCUGAUACCCAUCAUACCCACUUCAUCUGAGAAACACUGCUUUACAGAGAGGUACUCCAUGAAACUAACAAGUUCUUAUUCUUGAGUCAGAGUUGGCAAACAUUUUUUAUAAAGGUGUCCUUUUUUUUUUUUAAUGACCAGUCAAACUGUUUCUAAUAUUUUGGACUAACUCCCACUAAGAGAAAAACGUCUUUUGAAUAGAACACGGUUCUCCUUAUUUCUAGAAUAGAAUAGAAUAAAAAAUUUCCAUUUUUAUUCAUUCAGUAGUUUGGUGGAAGGAAUAUCCAGGGGGAAUAAAAUAGAUGGAAAGUAUGAAUACAGUGUUGGUCAAGUCUCAGCUCAGCUGUUUUCUGCUGGGUGACCUUGGACCAGUUACUGAACCCUGACCCCAGCCUAGGGUUUCUGCUCUGUGCAGUUGGAAUAAUAAAGCUCUUGGCUUCCAGGCACCUCCUUAGGCAGUUGUGAAAUGAGAUGAUCUAAGCAAUAGUGCUUCGGAGUGUUUGUGUGUAGUCAGUGUGCCUGAUGACUGUGUAGGGCUGGUCUUCCCUUGUGAAAACCAAUCCAGGGUGGGUUGAUUCUAGAAGGGUGAUGCCUACACUUCACUUGAUUUGCCUUAAAUC